RNAcentral lists this ribosomal RNA (305 nucleotides) under uncultured bacterium. RNAcentral's name for it is "partial 16S ribosomal RNA". It matches the Rfam family "Bacterial small subunit ribosomal RNA", at positions 334 to 656 of the family's 1533-position model. The record is from RNAcentral.
UAAUCCUACGGGGGGCAGCAGUAGGGAAUAUUUCUCAAUUUUUUAACCCCUUCAUCCUCCCCUCCUCUUUUCUUCUUAAUUUUUUAGGAUUGUAAACUCCUUUUUUAAGAUAAUAUUAUUACGGUAUCUUACGAAUAAGCACCGGCUAACUCCGUGCCAGCAGCCGCGGUAAUACGGAGGGUGCAAGCGUUACUCUGAAUCACUGGGCUUAAAUAGCGCGUAGGCUGGUGGUCAAUUCAUAUUUUAAAUCCUUUAGCUUAACUACAGAACUGCAUUUGAAACUGAUCAUCUAGAGUAUGGGAGAG